This 549-nucleotide non-coding RNA is filed under the name Aptenodytes forsteri (emperor penguin). Its description in RNAcentral is "Eukaryotic large subunit ribosomal RNA". The stretch from base 1 to 390 matches the Rfam family "Eukaryotic large subunit ribosomal RNA", at positions 2582 to 3003 of the family's 3401-position model. The record is from Rfam by way of RNAcentral. Lineage: Eukaryota; Metazoa; Chordata; Aves; Sphenisciformes; Spheniscidae.
UCUUGCGCAGGUCUUGGAAGCCAUCUUCAUGUUGGAGCUUUUUCUUAUGUGACAACAGCAUGCUAAAGUGAGUUCAGAAAACUGUGGAGCAGAAGAGCAAAAACUUGUUUGAUCUUGAUUUUCCAUGCAAAUACACAAUGAAAAGUGAGGUCUCACGAUCAUUCUGACUUUUCAGGUUUUAAGCAGAAGUCUCAAAAUAGUUACCACAGGGAUAACUGAUGUGAGGUGGUUACGUGUUUUAGGCACGAUGGGUUUUUUUAUUCAGAGAUUUUGGCUCUUCCUUUAAUAUGGAAGGAGACUUUACCAAGUGCUGGGUAAUUCAUCCGCUAUCAGGGAAUGUGAACUGCAUUUAGACUAUGGUUAGGUAAGUUACUUCUACCCUUCCAGUGAAUGGUUCCAGUUGCAAUGGUGAUUGUGCUCAGCAAAAGAGUAAUCAUGGGUUCAGAACCUUGGUGUAUGUGCUUGAUCAAGGAACCUUGAUUUAUCAUAGCUUAUAAUUGGAAUAAUUGGCUUAGCUGUGAAUUUCCAGAAAGAGCCUUUGAUUCUUGU